UACGUAGGGUGCGAGCGUUAAUCGGAAUUACUGGGCGUAAAGUGUGCGCAGGCGGCCGAGCAAGUCGAGUGUGAAAGCCCCGAGCUUAACUUGGGAACUGCGCUCGAAACUACUUGGCUAGAGUGUGGCAGAGGGAGGUGGAAUUCCACGUGUAGCGGUGAAAUGCGUAGAGAUGUGGAGGAACACCGAUGGCGAAGGCAGCCUCCUGGGCCAACACUGACGCUCAUGCACAAAAGCGUGGGGAGCAAACAGG
This 253-nucleotide ribosomal RNA is filed under the name uncultured bacterium. Its description in RNAcentral is "partial 16S ribosomal RNA". It matches the Rfam family "Bacterial small subunit ribosomal RNA", at positions 524 to 776 of the family's 1533-position model. The record is from RNAcentral.